Long non-coding RNA from Neltuma alba, 1994 nucleotides. RefSeq lists it as uncharacterized. The transcript has 6 exons. The record is from RefSeq and is a predicted model, not a curated record. NCBI's taxonomy places the organism in Eukaryota, Viridiplantae, Streptophyta, Magnoliopsida, Fabales, Fabaceae.
CAAGAAAAUGCUGUAGCAAACCAAGAUAAUGUAUUCUGAAAUGCAAAUGCAGCAUUGGCACUGAGCGCAAGAAGACAGAGUAUAAUCGCGGGAAGAAAAGGUGGAGAAGAAGAAACGGUGGUCAGAUCCUCAUCGCCGGCGGAAAUUCUAGUGUUGAGAAUCUCCAUUUUGCCUCUGUUUCUAUCCCAAAGUAAUCUCAAGAGAUGAGCUACUGAUCCUUGCAGCCCAACGUCACCGACGGUCUUCAACGCAAUCGCACAGGAUCUGGUCGACGGUGGCAAGUGGUCUCUGGCUCAGGCGACUGGAGACUACGGCCGAAGUGAUUGACUGGAUGUUGUGGCUACAGAGGAGUGAUGAGUCGGACGAUAUUGCACAAAAUUUGUCUAUCCCAGAGAGUAAUGGGCUUUUGAUCUAUUUAUACGAAGCCUUUAACUCUCCCACGGAUGAAAUGAGAGACGAAACUUAUGCAAGAUUGAAAGAGGCGUGCUGAUCGCCAAACAAGACUAAUCGUUAUUCCCACCUCUCCCAUUUCGCGAUUAGGGUUUUCUGCUUACCAAGCAAUGCCUAACAGGGUAGUGAUUACGUAUUGUCUGAGAAAAUGUUCAUCUCAUCGAAGGUAAAAUCCAUUCAGGUUGGACAAGAGAGAUAGAUGCCAUGAAUGCAAAGCAGGAAAUUCCUUACUGUUAUUUUAUAGAAAGAGCACAGUUGGAUCACUUGGAAUUUCUUAUAUAAUCUUUGGCUUAUUAUCCAAACAAAGUGUUCUGCCUUUAAGUAAAGAUGGCAAAUUAAGGGCCUCGCUCAAUUCUGAUAAGGAGAAAGGACAUGUCUUUCUUAUCAAUUGUUUGAUUAAGGAAAUGUGUAGUUUUGAACAACAUUUUCGGACGCUUAAAAAACACAAUUACAACAAAAAGGAAAAGAGAAGAAAGAAAGGCUCAGCUUUAUUCCAAGUUUGAAAAUGAGUGAUAGAGAGAAUAUGGAGGGGUAAGGACAGUAUAGCCUGCAAAAUGUCACGCUAAAAGUUUCCUAUAUCUCUAUCAAAAUUCUAAAUAAGCAUGGUGGGGGCAAGGGGAUGAAUUUAACGCUUGAAAUGUAAAUGAGAAAUUCAAAGGACAGUGGCGGACACAAUGAGAUGUUGUUGCUGUUAAGAGAAAGAGGCAGAGAGAGUCAUUGAAUUAAUCACCUUCCAUUGCAUCACAACAACAGCAUGAGAACAAGUCUGGUUAAGGAACGCCUCAAACUAAAGUUCACAGUGUCCUUCCUUCUCAUUAUUCACAGAUUUGGCUUGGGAUGCAAACAAGAUAAUGGACAUAUGAUAGUGUAGAUUGAGUGUGAAUAAGUGAAUUAUAUGUGUCAUUUGUUGCUGACAAAAUAAGAAGAACAACAUAGGGCCCUCAUUUUCCAAAGCAGCCUUUGAAUUUCAAGGAAGAGAAAAGCACUGCAUGUGAUCUCUGCAUAGUUGUGAGCAAAAUGGGUUUCAGAAGGAAUUUUCUUCUAUGUUCAUGGAGAGGAAGAGGAACAAAACCCAGCUUCGUUUCGGUGUCUUUUUCUUCUUCAUCUUCUCAAAUUUCACAAUCUUCAGCUCUGCUAUUACAGGUCAAGAUACUAAGAGGUGUCCAUGCUAGCUGAUGCAGAUUUCCAGAAGAAAUUUGAGGAGAAAAUUGGAGAAAUUUCACUUUCAAGGAGGUUUCUGGUUGGCAUAGGGUCAUCACCACCACGGUGCAGCUCCAAGUGUGGCAGAUGUACACCAUGCAGGGCGGUUCAUGUGCCAGUGCCACCCGGAACUCCGGUAACUUCCGAAUAUUACCCCGAAGCAUGGAGGUGCAAAUGUGGCAAUAAGUUGUACAUGCCAUGAAUACAUAUUGCGUAUAUAUAUUAUUUCGUUAUAUCUAUAUCGUAGCACUCCAUUUACCUUACUGACCAUAUAAAUGGACUCUUCAGUUGUUUCAGUUUUAGUUUGCCUAUGGUAGAUAUCUGUUAUGGUAAAAAUACAGCAU